This is a long non-coding RNA of Alligator mississippiensis (American alligator), 1440 nucleotides long. RefSeq lists it as uncharacterized. The record is from RefSeq and is a predicted model, not a curated record. Lineage: Eukaryota; Metazoa; Chordata; Crocodylia; Alligatoridae. The transcript has 4 exons.
GAGGACUGUUUUCAGUGAUAGGCCCUUAGAUAUGCAACUCAAGCCUCCAGCUACCCUAGCAGGUAACUUCUGGAGCAUACUGCAGAACUUCUACUUUGAAAUUCACCCCUAUGUAAAACAAAUAUUCAUGAACCCUUAGGAACCAUUUAAGAAGUACAGAAGAACAAACAGAAAGGCUUUGCUUUUUCCUAAUGAGAUCCAUCCUUCAGAACGUUAUCUGUCCUACUAGCUAACCUCAGCACAAGUUAUUUAUUUUUCCCAAAAAAUCUCUCUAGUCAUGGCCUUUUUUAACUAAUAAAAAGGAAAGAGUGACAGCCUGAGUAGGUGUUUAAGUAGUGGGUGUUGGUAGAUGCCUCCUUCUCCCUUUCAUCACAGAGCUUAUCAGGUGGGGAAGCCCCAGACCAUUUUACCACAAUAAGGAUUUUUCUACAAAUCUGCUAGAAGUGGAGUCAUUAAUAGAGGGGAGAUAAGGAGAGAAAAAAGAUUUAUCUUCAUACAGCUUACUUAAGACCAAGAAUAUGUCUGGAUACAGCCUAAGUAUGAAGUUAUAAGCUCCAUUAAUUAAAAAGGCAUGAGGAAGCAAAACUGAAGCUGGAAACCAUGGAGCUCAAGGUCACACCAAUGAGGACAAACCAAUUAAUGGAAAAACUAAAAGUGUGUAGGACUGAAUGUGUUGACCAUGAAAACUGGACUGCUUCAGCUACAAAGGUAACAUAUAACAGCAUGGGUGACUGGUGCCUCUUGAGUCUGGGGGGCACCCGCAGAAGCCAGCAUCAGCAAUGGGGACGAGGCUGGUGAGCAGCCACAGAAGCCACCAGUGGCAUCAACAGUGGGGGGGGGGGGGGCGCUGCCUCCCUUUUCCCCCCCUACCAGUCACCUAUGGAUAACAGUGACCAAGGUAUCAAGAUGGAGAUCUACAGGCCUUUAGCCAUGAAAAACAAGGCAACAUCUUAAGCAAGAUUUGAUGGAGAUAAUUAAAAUACAGUUGUGAAUAAGAUCUGCCAGAACUAUGGAGAGUCUGGAGAUGCUAAAUGAAAUUAUCCACUGGCAAUCCCUCUGUCCCUGCCCCAUCACCAGUAAACAAACAAACAAAAGCAAAAACACUCAUAUUCUUGUUUCAGCAUCUCCAGCAGAGUGUUAACUAUCUAAUUGCAAAUACUAGCAUACUGAGUUAUCAGAGUACUAUUAUGGGAUUCUCAGAAAGGCUGAAGGAUUCUCCUGUGAGAUCCUAAUUGACUUUAUAGGUUCCACAGAAAAUGUGGACUCCAAAGUUGUGGAAGAAAGUUUUCCAGAGAAAGACCACAGAAAUGAGCUCUCUACUUUGAGAUAGUUGGAACUGCAAAAAGCCUAAGGCAGAAUGAAAUAUAAAAAAAAAUAAUAAUAAUAAAAAAAUAAAAUUUGGCAUGGAAUUCUGAUCAAGAAUCAUUGUUUAGGACUGAU